CUCGCCUGCAUGAAGCUGGAAUUGCUGUAAUCGCGGAUCAGCAAGCCGCGGUGAAUACGUUCCCGGGCCUUGUACACACCGCCCGUCACACCAUGAGAGUCGGGAACACCCGAAGUCCGUAGUCUAACCGCAAGGGGGGCGCGGCCGAAGGUGGGUCCGGUAAUUGGGGUGAAGUCGUAACAAGGUAUC
RNAcentral lists this ribosomal RNA (189 nucleotides) under uncultured bacterium. RNAcentral's name for it is "partial 16S ribosomal RNA". It matches the Rfam family "Bacterial small subunit ribosomal RNA", at positions 1311 to 1500 of the family's 1533-position model. The record is from RNAcentral.